RNAcentral lists this ribosomal RNA (441 nucleotides) under uncultured bacterium. RNAcentral describes it as "partial 16S ribosomal RNA". It matches the Rfam family "Bacterial small subunit ribosomal RNA", at positions 339 to 795 of the family's 1533-position model. The record is from RNAcentral.
CCUCGGGCCGCUGCAGUAAAGAAUCUUCCACAAUGGACGAAAGUCUGAUGGAGCGACACCGCGUGCAGGAUGAAGGCCUUUGGGUUGUAAACUGCUUUUCUGGGGGAAUAAUUCUGAAGGUACCCUAGGAAUAAGCACCGGCUAAAUCCGUGCCAGCAGACCGCGGUAAUACGGAUGGUGCAAACGUUACCCGGAAUUAUUGGGCGUAAAGCGUCCGCAGGCGGCGCAGUAAGUCAGAUAUUAAAUCCCAUGGCUCAACUUUGGGGCUGUGUCUGAAACUACUAUGCUAGAGUCUUUCAGAGGCGAGUGGAAUUCUAUAUGUAGGGGUAAAAUCCGUAGAUAUAUAGAGGAACACCAAAAGCGAAGGCAGCUCGCUGGGAAAGUACUGACGCUCAUGGACGAAAGCGUGGGGAGCAAACGGGGUUAGAUACCCCCGUAGUC